UCGGGAAUUUUGGGCAAUGGGGGAAAUCCUGACCCAGCAACGCCGCGUGAAGGAUGAAGUAUUUCGGUAUGUAAACUUCGAAAGAAUAGGAAGAAUAAAUGACGGUACUAUUUGUAAGGUCCGGCUAACUACGUGCCAGCAGCCGCGGUAAUACGUAGGGACCAAGCGUUGUUCGGAUUUACUGGGCGUAAAGGGCGCGUAGGCGGUUUGUCAAGUCAGUUGUGAAAUCUCCGAGCUUAACUCGGAACGGUCAACUGAUACUGUCAAACUAGAGUACAGAAGGGGCAAUCGGAAUUCUUGGUGUAGCGGUGAAAUGCGUAGAUAUCAAGAGGAACACCUGAGGCGAAGGCGGGUUGCUGGGCUGAUACUGACGCUGAAGCGCGAAAGCUAGGGUAGCAAACGGGAUUAGAUACCCCAGUAGUCCCUGAGCGGGCUGGCAAGGCGCAU
Molecule: ribosomal RNA, 447 nt
Filed under: uncultured bacterium
Lineage: Bacteria
Description: bacterial SSU rRNA
Rfam family: Bacterial small subunit ribosomal RNA
Source: RNAcentral